RNAcentral lists this ribosomal RNA (497 nucleotides) under uncultured bacterium. RNAcentral describes it as "partial 16S ribosomal RNA". It matches the Rfam family "Bacterial small subunit ribosomal RNA", at positions 28 to 507 of the family's 1533-position model. The record is from RNAcentral.
GAUGAACGCUGGCGGCGUGCCUAAUACAUGUAAGUCGAGCGAACAGAUGAGGAGCUUGCUCCUCUGACGUUAGCGGCGGACGGGUGAGUAACACGUGGAUAACCUACCUAUAAGACUGGGAUAACUUCGGGAAACCGGAGCUAAUACCGGAUAGUAUAUUGAACCGCAUGGUUCAAUAGUGAAAGACGGUUUUGCUGUCACUUAUAGAUGGAUCCGCGCCGCAUUAGCUAGUUGGUAAGGUAACGGCUUACCAAGGCAACGAUGCGUAGCCGACCUGAGAGGGUGAUCGGCCACACUGGAACUGAGACACGGUCCAGACUCCUACGGGAGGCAGCAGUAGGGAAUCUUCCGCAAUGGGCGAAAGCCUGACGGAGCAACGCCGCGUGAGUGAUGAAGGUCUUCGGAUCGUAAAACUCUGUUAUUAGGGAAGAACAAAUGUGUAAGUAACUAUGCACGUCCUGACGGUACCUAAUCAGAAAGCCACGGCUAACUACGUG